This 695-nucleotide long non-coding RNA is filed under the name Hordeum vulgare. RNAcentral's name for it is "long non-coding RNA (HVUL_LNC021585)". Lineage: Eukaryota; Viridiplantae; Streptophyta; Magnoliopsida; Poales; Poaceae. The record is from RNAcentral.
CCAAUUCCAGUGGAAUGGAACCAUGACAUUCCGUUCCACUUCGUUCCCGAACCAAACACACCCUAAAGUGGCCGAGACUUCAAAUGGGUUAUUGCGUAGAUAUCAAAAAGAAAUGGGUUACUGCGUACGUACAGCAUAAGGUAGGUAAUCCUAAGUUCAUGGCAAUUUGGCAAACUAACACGAUGCUACCUGGCGACCUAACAAGUGCUAUUAGAUCAUAGACAUCGUAGGAAUACUGAGGCUACCAAAGACACAAGAUACCAAAUGUCUGGAAACUGUACAUGCAUCGAAACAUAUAAGGCCGUCCAGGGUAUAACAAGGCCAGCGGCAGCAGCUAGCAGAUUACCAAGUCCCAAACUGGUGCCAACUUUCUCCCAUGAUAACAGUAAGCAGAAACAUAACAGGGUCCAUACCAAGAAAAGAAAAAAGGUUUCCAUUCGAUAGUUCUACGGUAGUUUAUGGUUUAUGCAGCAAAAGCACAUAUCCUUCACCAGCCCCCACCGCCAGACCCCCACCCACCUCCGGCAUCCGGUGCUGGGACGGCCUUCUUGGCGCUGCCCCAUCCUGAGUCGUUACCAGCAGCACCAGGAGUAGUAGCUGCUCCCCAGCCUCCGGCGCCACCGUCAGUGGCAGCAGCAGGUGUACCCCAGCCUCCAGCACCACCGUCAGUGGCAGCAGCAGCAGCAGGUGCGNNN